UUAGGCGGCCACAGCGGUGGGGUUGCCUCCCGUACCCAUCCCGAACACGGAAGAUAAGCCCACCAGCGUUCCGGGGAGUACUGGAGUGCGCGAGCCUCUGGGAAACCCGGUUCGCCGCCACC
Molecule: ribosomal RNA, 122 nt
Filed under: Haloarcula marismortui
Lineage: Archaea; Methanobacteriati; Methanobacteriota; Halobacteria; Halobacteriales; Haloarculaceae
Source: RNAcentral